This 606-nucleotide ribosomal RNA is filed under the name Klebsiella pneumoniae. Its description in RNAcentral is "partial 23S ribosomal RNA". It matches the Rfam family "Bacterial large subunit ribosomal RNA", at positions 2259 to 2859 of the family's 2925-position model. The record is from RNAcentral. Lineage: Bacteria; Pseudomonadati; Pseudomonadota; Gammaproteobacteria; Enterobacterales; Enterobacteriaceae.
UGGUGGGUAGUUUGACUGGGGCGGUCUCCUCCCAAAGCGUAACGGAGGAGCACGAAGGUUAGCUAAUCCUGGUCGGACAUCAGGAGGUUAGUGCAAUGGCAUAAGCUAGCUUGACUGCGAGCGUGACGGCGCGAGCAGGUGCGAAAGCAGGUCAUAGUGAUCCGGUGGUUCUGAAUGGAAGGGCCAUCGCUCAACGGAUAAAAGGUACUCCGGGGAUAACAGGCUGAUACCGCCCAAGAGUUCAUAUCGACGGCGGUGUUUGGCACCUCGAUGUCGGCUCAUCACAUCCUGGGGCUGAAGUAGGUCCCAAGGGUAUGGCUGUUCGCCAUUUAAAGUGGUACGCGAGCUGGGUUUAGAACGUCGUGAGACAGUUCGGUCCCUAUCUGCCGUGGGCGCUGGAGAAUUGAGGGGGGCUGCUCCUAGUACGAGAGGACCGGAGUGGACGCAUCACUGGUGUUCGGGUUGUCAUGCCAAUGGCACUGCCCGGUAGCUAAAUGCGGAAGAGAUAAGUGCUGAAAGCAUCUAAGCACGAAACUUGCCCCGAGAUGAGUUCUCCCUGAGACUUUAAGUCUCCUGAAGGAACGUUAAAGACGAUGACGUUGAUAG